Pseudoliparis swirei is the source of this 2081-nucleotide RNA transcript. It is a transcript of the gene named carnitine O-acetyltransferase, with no coding region annotated. The record is from RefSeq and is a predicted model, not a curated record. Lineage: Eukaryota; Metazoa; Chordata; Actinopteri; Perciformes; Liparidae. The transcript is spliced from 5 exons.
GCACUCACGUGACGUCGGAGUUUUCUGGUUUCAGCCUUGUAAACAGUGUUCACGGUCAACCACCAAGUCGUAAAUAGUAAUUAUGAAACUCUGAAGAGCCACAUCAAAUGCGAUGGUGUCCCUCAAUAAUACGGAUGUGCCUGAAAACGAUGACGUGAUCGUUCGCGAGGCGUUACGGAGCGCGCUGCAUCCGGUUCACAUCUCUCCCACCGUGGCACGUGACCUGAACGCUACAUAAACAACGGGAGUCCGUCGCGUCUCUGUUGGAGGAGCGAGAAGUUGUUGUUUUAUUUUAUCCUCGUGGACGUUUCACGAGCUUCAAAGUAACUCCGGAGGGUUUUCCCGGGUCUCAGUCUCCGGGAUGAUCCGAGGAGGACUCGCCGAUGUGGCUGGCUGCUCUCAUGGAGCUAACACACGGAUGCUCUGAGGCUUGAGUCGGGAUGUUUUCAACCAACAUGGAAACCAAACGAGUGGAGAUCCCCACCGGCUUGCUGGACGACCUGUGCAGCCGGUUCAUCCUGCACAUCCCCAGUGAGGAGAGGGACAACGCCAUCCGGGUGUGCUUCCAGAUCGAGCUGGCCCACUGGUUCUACCUGGACUUCUGCAUGCAGAACACGCCGGAGCUCCGCACUGCGGCAUCAGAGACUUCGCCAAGGCGGUGUUCCACCACUGUCCUUUCCUGCUGCCUCACGGGGAAGAUGUCCAGAAGAUCCUGGAGCAGUGGAAGGAGUACAAGAUGGGCGUCCCCACCUUCGGAGCAAUCAUGCUGGACGAAGCUCUGGAAAACUUUUCCGUGUUAACGGAUCAGGCCAGUGUCAUUCUACAUGAACCAAUAGCAGAGCUGCUGUAGCUGGAGGCGGAGCUUAAUCACGAGGCCGCGAUAUGAACGUUGUAAAACUCAGAUGAAUAGGACAUCUCGUCUGGUUCGGUGCCUUCCAAGACGGACUGCGUCAUGUGCUUCGGCCCCAUCGUGCCCGACGGGUACGGCGUGUGCUACAACCCGAUGGAAGACCACAUCAACUUCGCCGUGUCGUCCUUCAACGCCUGUAAAGACACGGACGCGGCGCGUCUGGCCCGGUCCGUGGAGGAGGCCCUGCUGGACAUGAGGACCCUGCUGGACCAAUCACCAAGAGCCAAACUGUGAAGCUCCCUCCAGGCUCUUCCCGGAUGUAGGGAGCCCCGCCCCCUUUUGUGUGAUUGACUGAACCCCACACACACACACACACGUCUGAGCCAGUCUUCUCCCCAUGGUAGUGAUGGUUGUUGAAAUAUUAUACAUAAGAACAUUUCUCUAAUUUUUUAACUUAAAUCCAUUUCAUUUGAAACCUUCAAAAUAAAAGCACAGGAUUUUUGUUCUUCUUUUUUUUAAGAAAAGGUGAUCAUAUGUCUUAAAAUGACGUAGUGGGCCGGAUUCGGGCCGCGGGCCUUGUGUUUGACACCUGUGCUCUAGUGGAACAACGCUCACGCACAAGCUAUUAAUAACUUCUUCUUUAACCGACAGAAAUGUAAUUAACAGAAAUUGUGUCGAUUGAUAUUUGAUCAUUUUAUGAUGAAAUGUGUGCCUUCCCAUGCAGAGGUCAGAGGUUCUGAACUCAUUGUUUUGGGAGAAAUCUUUGAAACAGAAAUUCUGCAUUUUGACAUUUAGAAUAAAUCCAGAAUAUUUGGUACUCUUUUUUUUUUAAGUAUCUGAUUGUAUUGGCCAGUUAUAGAUUCCUCUGAUUGUGGAUGCACAUAAAUGCAGCUGAAGACGGAGACGACAAAAUGGAAUAAGACAAAAGACAAUACUACGUCUGUAACGGUGCACAUAAGCUGGAGUAGAUAUUAAAUGUAAUACGUGAAUAUGAGCCGUCUGCUCAGUGUGAACAGGAGACGAUUACAUCACAGCAUAUCAGCUGUUGAAGGUCUAUUUAAAUUCUCCUCAUUAGCGAUCCAAUGGGGCUGAUGGUCUUUAUUAUUGUUUUAUUUUCCAGUGAAUAUGUCAUCCAUGUUUGUUGCAGGUUAGCAUACAGGUGUAAUUAUUCUGGAUGUUCUAGCAAGAAAAGUGCAUCAUAUGGAGUGUAAUUAAAUGCAAAUAUUUCAAA